UGGUGGAGUGAUUUGUCUGGUUGAUUCCGUUAACGAACGAGACCUCAGCCUGCUAAAUAGUGACGGUUAGGCUUGCCUAGCUGCUUUACUUCUUAGAGGGACUUUUGGCGUUAGCCAAAGGAAGUUUGAGGCAAUAACA
This 139-nucleotide ribosomal RNA is filed under the name uncultured eukaryote. RNAcentral's name for it is "partial 18S ribosomal RNA". It matches the Rfam family "Eukaryotic small subunit ribosomal RNA", at positions 1299 to 1458 of the family's 1831-position model. The record is from RNAcentral.